UGAGGAAUAUUGCGCAAUGAGCGAAAGCUAGACGCAGCAACGCCGCGUGGACGAUGAAGGCCUUCGGGUCGUAAAGUCCUUUUCAGAGGGACGAGUGAGGACGGUACCUCUGGAAUAAGUCACGGCUAACUACGUGCCAGCAGCCGCGGUAAAACGUAGGUGGCGAGCGUUAUCCGGAUUCACUGGGCGUAAAGCGCCUGCAGGCGGUCCUGUAAGUGGGAUGUGAAAUCUCCUGGCUUAACUGGGAGAGGCCGUUCAAUACUGUCGGGCUAGAGGACGGCAGAGGGAGGUGGAAUUCCCGGUGUAGUGGUGAAAUGCGUAGAUAUCGGGAGGAACACCAGUGGCGAAGGCGGCCUUCUGGGCCGAACCUGACGCUCAGACGCGAAAGCUAGGGGAGCGAACGGGAUUAGAAACCCCGGUAGUCCUAGCCGUAAACGAUGUAGACUGGGCGUCGGUGGGGUAAAAGCCAUCGGUGCCGAAGCUAACGCGAUAAGUCUACCGCCUGGGGACUACGGCCGCAAGGUUA
RNAcentral lists this ribosomal RNA (526 nucleotides) under uncultured bacterium. RNAcentral describes it as "bacterial SSU rRNA". It matches the Rfam family "Bacterial small subunit ribosomal RNA", at positions 355 to 896 of the family's 1533-position model. The record is from RNAcentral.